AUUGCAUCGGGCUAACUUUUCCUUUCUUUUCGUUUUCUAUACAGGGCAGGCUUUCUCGUAGCUGGACUUUCAGUCAGUUAUAAAGUGAUACAAACUUGUGAGACAGAGAGAGACGCAGAGAGGAAUGGAGCAAUGGCCACAUGUCCCCUGGAGAAUAAAUCACCUUGAUGUGGGCCAGGGGCACCUGAGAGGGAGGGAGGGAGAGAAACUUGGCUGAAAUGGAAAAGCUUUGAUGGUUAUUGUCUGGGAAAGCUGCCUACUUUUAAGUCAUUAACUUCAUGUUGUAGUCAUCCAGGUCAGUGCAGCAUUACCAACAAGCUGCCACACGAACAAAAGAAACACCAUGUCCGCUUUUGACCAGUCCAAAGCAGACCAGCAUUGACCAGGGACGAUGUGACAUGACAUCAAAGACGGUUAAGAAAGGACAGUAGGAAGUUGCUGACAUUUCAGUCUUUAUGGGUCCCGUUUGACUGGUCCUCAGCAAACCAGACGGGAAGAUUUAUGAGACUUGCGACUACAUGAGUCACUCUGGCUUCAAACAGUUUGCAUGCACCUCCUGUCUCCCUAUAUCAGUCUUCCUCUCUGUGGGGAUGUGUGCCGAGAUCGUAUCAGAGGGACGUCAGUCACCGACUUCGUCUGGCUGACUACGAGGGCAGGGAUCGAUGGGAGAACUCUCUCAAGGUAGCAGGAGGGUGACUUAUGUGUGUGGUGUUUUUGGCCAAAAGGAACUUCUGAACCAAGCUAAAUCAAUUUUCCAUUUUUGAUCAUCAAGAGGAGACAGAGAGGUGUGUGUGUGUGUGUGUGUGUGGAGAGAGGAGGGCUAACUGCAGCAGAAAGAAAGAUGUUGGGCUCAGAAGAUAAAAUAAUCAUCUCUGUGUCUGUGUGUUCCACUCAAACCCCCCCUUCACAGUCACCUGCACACAUCACUUCUGUCUAUCUGAUUGGGCGAAUCAGCAUUGAAAGCCUUCCUGAGUUUGUAUGAUGAUACGUCCAAAAAUGUAUGCACAACACUGGAGCAUCUUAUAAA
Molecule: long non-coding RNA, 1027 nt
Organism: Scatophagus argus
Lineage: Eukaryota; Metazoa; Chordata; Actinopteri; Scatophagidae
Exons: 3
Source: RefSeq, a predicted model, not a curated record